GCUCAGCUGGGAUAGCUCAAUUGGUAGAGCAUGAGAAUAUUAAUAUUAAGCUCAUGGGUUCAAUCCCCACAUUGGACA
This is a non-coding RNA of Podarcis lilfordi (Lilford's wall lizard), 78 nucleotides long. NCBI's taxonomy places the organism in Eukaryota, Metazoa, Chordata, Lepidosauria, Squamata, Lacertidae. The record is from the annotation of a GenBank genome assembly.